Crocodylus porosus (Australian saltwater crocodile) is the source of this 63-nucleotide small nucleolar RNA. Lineage: Eukaryota; Metazoa; Chordata; Crocodylia; Crocodylidae. The record is from Ensembl.
UUAUAAUGAUGUUGUCAAAUGUCUGACCUGAAAUCAGUAUGUGGACUAUUCAUUACUGAAGGA